GAUGAAGAACGUAGCGAAAUGCGAUAAGUAAUGUGAAUUGCAGAAUUCAGGGAAUCAUCGAAUCUUUGAACGCACAUUGCGCCCGCCAGUAUUCUGGCGGGCAUGCCUGUUCGAGCGUCAUUUCAACCAUCAAGCCCCAGGCUUGUGUUGGGGACCUGCGGCUGCCGCAGGCCCUGAAAACCAGUGGCGGGCUCGCUGUCACACCGGGCGUAGUAGAUUUUAUCUCGCUCUGGGCGUGCUGCGGGUUCCGGCCGUUAAAAAACCCUUUUAACCCAAGGUUGACCUCGGAUCAGGUAGGAAUACCCGCUGAACUUAAGCAUAUCAAUAAGCGGAGGA
Molecule: unclassified non-coding RNA, 336 nt
Filed under: soil metagenome
Description: partial contains 5.8S ribosomal RNA, internal transcribed spacer 2, and large subunit ribosomal RNA
Rfam family: 5.8S ribosomal RNA (bases 1-120)
Source: RNAcentral